AUAAGUUUUUAAUUACAUGUUCUCAUUAGAAAAUGAGUAAUUUGGUCAUUUUGUUCAAGAAAAUGGAUAUUUUUUUUAAAUGGCCAAGAGAAAAAUGUAUUGUUGCAAAAGGUGUCUUGCAUGGUAAGGUGGAAACUGAGAGUGAUGAGUUCUGUUUCUGAUGAAAACCAUUUUUGGUAAUCUUUUUUGCAUUAUUAUUUGUGAUUUUAUUUGUUUGUCAUUGUGCAUUAGGAUGGUUUUGUAUUAAACAAGAGGAUAUAAGUCUAAUAUAUACUUUAACAAGAGAGUGAUUUUGUUUUGCUAAAUUAAGCACACAUGCAUUAGUUUGACAAGUUGUGUGUGUGAGAGAUACAUCAUAAAAUGCAUCAUUAAUGCGAGAGAGUCAUCCGCGUCCCCAAAUACUUCUAUAUAAACUUACAUCUCUCUUUCUCUCUAACGCACAGCUCACAAUACUUUCUAACUCACUAAUUUUUCCUAAAUUCUUUUGAAUCAGUAGAAUAGAAAUUAUUUAUAUGCAUAUCAUUAUUUAUGUAUUUGUUUUCCUUUGCUUAUAUGAUUUGAUUAUGGUGUGUUUUUAUGUUCGUAGCCAUGCAGAUUUUUGUGAAACGGUUAGGAGGGAAAACUGUGACAAUCCAUACCCUAGGUGAGGGAAACACAGUCCAGGAUUUGAAGGCUGUUUUAGAGGAGAAAGCAGGAGGAUCUUGGUCUUGGCUGAGCAGCAGAUGCUUCACUUCGCAAAGAAGAUGAUUGCGGACGAUGCAGCAGUCCUGGGGACUAUUUCAUCAAAGAUGGCUCCAGCCUCCAGCUCGUGGUGAGGCUUUUUGGGAGAGCUACCAAUUAGGCCUUCAUCUAUCAAUCUUAUUUAUCUAUCCAUGUUUUAAUGAAUGAAUGUAUGAUAUUCCUUUUAAGCUUUACAUCUAUCUAUCCAUGUUUUAAUGAAUGAAUGUAUGAUCUUCCUUUUAAGCUUUAAGUUUUCCAUUGUGUAGAACUAUUGAUCUUUCUUUAUAUGCAAGUGAAUUCAAUUUGGUGAUUUUAUAGUUUGCUCCAGAUUAUUUGUUAAUCUUGUUUUCGUUGGGAAUAAUAUGUGGGUAGAUAUGUUGAUCUUAAAGCAAGUAAUAUUUUUUGUUAGUUUACCAUUGUAAUGGUUAGAGGAAUUUUGCAUGUCAAUAUAUGUUUAUACCGCAGAAAUAAUUGAAAAUAAUUUUGCAUAUCCUACAAUCAUACUAUCAUAAUAUUUUUUUUAGUUAAUAUUAAUUUUGAUUUUUUUAUUGAUCCACAAAGGUAAAACAACUUUAGUACACUACAAAAAAAUCAUUUUAA
RNAcentral lists this small RNA (1320 nucleotides) under Arabidopsis thaliana (thale cress). RNAcentral describes it as "ATSL099680". The record is from RNAcentral. Lineage: Eukaryota; Viridiplantae; Streptophyta; Magnoliopsida; Brassicales; Brassicaceae.